Molecule: unclassified non-coding RNA, 253 nt
Filed under: uncultured Chitinophagales bacterium
Lineage: Bacteria; Pseudomonadati; Bacteroidota; Chitinophagia; Chitinophagales
Description: contains 16S-23S intergenic spacer region
Rfam family: Bacterial small subunit ribosomal RNA
Source: RNAcentral
UACGGAGGGUGCAAGCGUUAUCCGGAAUUACUGGGCUUAAAGGGUACGUAGGUGGUUAGUUAAGUCAUAAGUGAAAGACCGUUGCUUAACGACGGUAUUGCUAAUGAAACUGGCUGACUUGAAACAGGUUAGGGUUUGCGGAAUGCGUCAUGUAGCGGUGAAAUGCAUAGAUAUGACGUAGAACACCGAAAGCGAAGGCAGCGAGCUGAGCCUUGUUUGACACUGAGGUACGAAAGUGUGGGUAGCGAACAGG